ACUUGGCCUCAUCGUCAACAUAAAUUUCCAUUGGCUGAAAGGAAUAAAGGUUAUAGUAAAGGAUAUUAGGAGCUUCGUGAGCUAACGGAAUCUGAUAACGAAAUGAACGAUGGAUGAAGAUCUUCCAUCUGUGAAUUUUCUCCUUGCAGCUUAGAGUAAAAGCACCCAACUAGUCCCCAUUCUUGCUCAAUGUGUUUAUACAGCGCUUAUCAAAAAAGCUUCCGUUAGAACUCCAACCAUCAAACCACAGGUUAUCCCAUUUCAACUAAGACCUUCCCACCCCUCUUGACA
This 291-nucleotide long non-coding RNA is filed under the name Solanum tuberosum (potato). RNAcentral describes it as "long non-coding RNA (STUB_LNC008192)". Lineage: Eukaryota; Viridiplantae; Streptophyta; Magnoliopsida; Solanales; Solanaceae. The record is from RNAcentral.